UGCGCUGUUUGAUUCAUGACUAUCCUACUUUGGUUCAGAUAGUCACAUAUCCAGAAGCUGUCCGAAGAAUUUAAGCUUCUCAAGAAUCAGUCCAUCUAAAUAUAACUGUAAGCAAUAAACGCUUUUGUAUUUCUUUCAACGUAUGAUACCCACCACGUCUUUAAUUUGUUUCUUUUGUAACUCUUUCAUUCUUUUUUGGGCAUUAAAGGUAUUUGGGCACAGUGAGAGAAGAUGAAACUUUCAAAAUCCUUC
Molecule: long non-coding RNA, 252 nt
Filed under: Brassica napus (rape)
Lineage: Eukaryota; Viridiplantae; Streptophyta; Magnoliopsida; Brassicales; Brassicaceae
Description: long non-coding RNA (BNAP_LNC012078)
Source: RNAcentral